UACGGGGGGGGCAAGCGUUGUUCGGAAUUACUGGGCGUAAAGGGCUCGUAGGCGGCCAACUAAGUCAGACGUGAAAUCCCUCGGCUUAACCGGGGAACUGCGUCUGAUACUGGAUGGCUUGAGAUUGGGAGAGGGAUGCGGAAUUCCAGGUGUAGAGGUGAAAUGCGUAGAUAUCUGGAGGAACACCGGUGGCGAAGGCGGCAUCCUGGACCAACACUGACGCUGAGGAGCGAAAGCCAGGGGAGCAAACGGG
Molecule: ribosomal RNA, 253 nt
Filed under: uncultured bacterium
Lineage: Bacteria
Description: partial 16S ribosomal RNA
Rfam family: Bacterial small subunit ribosomal RNA
Source: RNAcentral